UGGGGAAUAUUGGACAAUGGGGGGAACCCUGAUCCAGCCAUGCCGCGUGUGUGAAGAAGGCCUUAUGGUUGUAAAGCACUUUAAGCGAGGAGGAGGGUACUGGUAUUAAUACUACCAGGUACUGGACGUUACUCGCAGAAUAAGCACCGGCUAACUCUGUGCCAGCAGCCGCGGUAAUACAGAGGGUGCAAGCGUUAAUCGGAAUUACUGGGCGUAAAGCGCGCGUAGGUGGUUCGUUAAGUUGAAUGUGAAAGCCCCGGGCUCAACCUGGGAACUGCAUCCAAAACUGGCGAGCUAGAGUAGGGCAGAGGGUGGUGGAAUUUCCUGUGUAGCGGUGAAAUGCGUAGAUAUAGGAAGGAACACCAGUGGCGAAGGCGACCACCUGGGCUCAUACUGACACUGAGGUGCGAAAGCGUGGGGAGCAAGCAGG
RNAcentral lists this ribosomal RNA (430 nucleotides) under Pseudomonadota bacterium. Its description in RNAcentral is "Proteobacteria bacterium partial 16S ribosomal RNA". It matches the Rfam family "Bacterial small subunit ribosomal RNA", at positions 355 to 776 of the family's 1533-position model. Lineage: Bacteria; Pseudomonadati; Pseudomonadota. The record is from RNAcentral.